Molecule: ribosomal RNA, 253 nt
Filed under: uncultured bacterium
Lineage: Bacteria
Description: partial 16S ribosomal RNA
Rfam family: Bacterial small subunit ribosomal RNA
Source: RNAcentral
UACGAAGGGGGCUAGCGUUGUUCGGAAUUACUGGGCGUAAAGCGUGCGUAGGCGGGUUGCUAAGUCAGGUGUGAAAUCCCGGGGCUCAACCUCGGAACUGCAUUUGAUACUGGCGGCCUAGAGACCGGGAGAGGUGAGCGGAAUACCGAGUGUAGAGGUGAAAUUCGUAGAUAAUCGGUGGAACACCAGUGGCGAAGGCGGCUCACUGGACCGGUACUGACGCUGAGGCACGAAAGCGUGGGGAGCAAACAGG